UGGGGAAUAUUGCACAAUGGGCGAAAGCCUGAUGCAGCGACGCCGCGUGCGGGAUGAAGGCCUUCGGGUUGUAAACCGCUUUUAAUUGGGAGCAAGCGAGAGUGAGUGUACCUUUUGAAUAAGCACCGGCUAACUACGUGCCAGCAGCCGCGGUAAUACGUAGGGUGCAAGCGUUAUCCGGAAUUAUUGGGCGUAAAGAGCUCGUAGGCGGUUUGUCACGCCUGGUGUGAAAGUCCAUCGCUUAACGGUGGAUCUGCGCCGGGUACGGGCAGGCUAGAGUGCAGUAGGGGAGAUUGGAAUUCCCGGUGUAACGGUGGAAUGUGUAGAUAUCGGGAAGAACACCAAUGGCGAAGGCAGAUCUCUGGGCUGUUACUGACGCUGAGGAGCGAAAGCAUGGGGAGCGAACAGGAUUAGAUACCCGUGGUAGUCCAUGCCGUAAACGGU
RNAcentral lists this ribosomal RNA (444 nucleotides) under uncultured bacterium. RNAcentral describes it as "partial 16S ribosomal RNA". It matches the Rfam family "Bacterial small subunit ribosomal RNA", at positions 355 to 810 of the family's 1533-position model. The record is from RNAcentral.